AUAUAUAUAUAUAUAUAUAUAUAUUGUUUUGGAAAUUGAUAUUGAUAUUGAUAUUUCAGUGUUGUUAUUUGCUUGCUUGCUUGAAUGCUUGAAUGAUUAUGAAAUUAAGUAACUGCAAUACUUCCUUUGUUCGUUAUAAGAUAAGAUGACUAAACAACAGCUGGGAAAGUUAGGUUUUUAAGUUUUCAAGUGGAGGUGAGCCAGACGAAGACUUCAGUGAAGAGGAGGAAGAGUGCUAGAAGAAGACAACAGCGUAAGCGAAGAGGAAGGACAUCCGGUUUUGUAAGCACAAGAUACAGAGACUGAUACGCCUACAACAGGAAGAUUGGAUCAUACAAGGCAUUGAUCAAUUGAUGAGUUAUAUGAAGCUGGAAUUUCCCAAAAAGUAGUAUAAAAGACUGAGGAGUAAAAGGCCUCGCUAGAUGCUGCCUGCAUUAAGCGUAGAAGGACACCUGAUACCCUAACGAAGGGCACAGCAUCUCCAGUAUUGCUGGAUGAAGCUAGAUUAUAGAGCUUUUUAGCUGAAGCUGAUUUAAGUUUUAUUUUGUUUUAUUUUGCAUUAACUGCUUUGUAUUGUAACCAAUAAAAGAGAUAUUUUAUUGUUACGAUUGCCUUCCGUGAGACUUUACUUAUAACUACGAACUGAGGCUCAAUAAAGAACAACCACAAGAUAGUCUUCUACGUCAUUCCUAAAGGACUUCAACCUGCGGGCGGUUCGGCACGGAUGUUGAGCUGCUGUUUGCUCUUUCCAGCUGGUCGAGAUGGGGUCGGGGCGUUCGAGUCUUCACUCACAGCCCCCGGUUUGGAUGGGGUCUCUGUGGUUGGUGCAGCGGUGACCUCUGGACUCGGUCCUCUGCGAACCGAUGAGGCAACAACGCCAUUUUCUUCCGCACUAUAAAUGGACACAAAAGCAAAUAUCACCUCAGAAUUUCUAGGAUGGUUUGUUGAGUAUUAUUCUUGAUCUUAAAGUCCACCUCAUUCUGUUCAUUUGAUGCAAACAAAAACAAGGCUGAGAUGUACAAUCCA
Long non-coding RNA from Ctenopharyngodon idella (grass carp), 1026 nucleotides. RefSeq lists it as uncharacterized. The transcript has 2 exons. Lineage: Eukaryota; Metazoa; Chordata; Actinopteri; Cypriniformes; Xenocyprididae. The record is from RefSeq and is a predicted model, not a curated record.